CAGUCGCCGCGGUAAUACGUAGGGUGCAAGCGUUAAUCGGAAUUACUGGGCGUAAAGCGUGCGCAGGCGGUUCUAUAAGACAGAUGUGAAAUCCCCGGGCUCAACCUGGGAACUGCAUUUGUGACUGUAGAGCUGGAGUGCGGCAGAGGGGGAUGGAAUUCCGCGUGUAGCAGUGAAAUGCGUAGAUAUGCGGAGGAACACCGAUGGCGAAGGCAAUCCCCUGGGCCUGCACUGACGCUCAUGCACGAAAGCGUGGGGAGCAAACAGGAUUAGAUACCCCGGUAGUCCCUGUCUCUUAUAC
This 301-nucleotide ribosomal RNA is filed under the name uncultured bacterium. RNAcentral describes it as "partial 16S ribosomal RNA". It matches the Rfam family "Bacterial small subunit ribosomal RNA", at positions 509 to 807 of the family's 1533-position model. The record is from RNAcentral.